Molecule: long non-coding RNA, 360 nt
Organism: Symphalangus syndactylus (siamang)
Lineage: Eukaryota; Metazoa; Chordata; Mammalia; Primates; Hylobatidae
Source: RefSeq, a predicted model, not a curated record
UAAUGAUUUCAUGCAUGUUGCAUCAUUUUAUCAUUUCAACACGAAGCUCAGAGUGGAGGCUUCCUCUUCCGUCUAGGUCCUAGAAUGAGGCACACCUGGAAUAGCACCAAAGGAUCAUAGAUCCUGGAAAACAUAGUGAAAGCUAUUGGUUGGCUGGCCAUGAAAGUGCACACAUGCAACUACACUGAAUUUCGUAUAAAUUUCCAGGAACUCCUCAUUCCUCCCAAAUAUGAUCCAUGGACAUCUAGAUGAAGGACGCUUGGCACAGAAGCAGUACACACUUGAUGUUUGUCUACUCUGGAUGUCAUUAACGUUGGGUCCCCUAACUCUUAGUAUCUAUAAUAAACAAAACCUGGGAUU